This 74-nucleotide transfer RNA is filed under the name Liposcelis paeta. Its description in RNAcentral is "tRNA-Thr". Lineage: Eukaryota; Metazoa; Arthropoda; Insecta; Psocodea; Liposcelididae. The record is from RNAcentral.
AAUUUGUUAGUUUAAUUAAAAUGGAAAAUUUGUAAUUUUCAGUUAUUUCUUACAUUUUUGUAGCAAAAAUAUUG